ACAACUGGAACCAAAACUGGACUUCCGCCAUUUCCCCCCUCUCACUCACCGUGAACAGACCAGCACGGCAGCGUUCAAGUCCUCCCAUAGAAAUAGUUCGGUUCUUGGGUGUUCUAACCAACACCAAAGUCUAUUCACUUUAACAAGGGAUCAACAAGUGAGGAUUUGUGGGUCACUUUUAUUUUUAACGGACCGGUGCCAGAAACACUGCCUCAGCAUUUAUACGUAUGUGCAUUUCAAACGAGGGUGCGUACAAUGCUGGAUUUGUUUCACGGCUCCUGUUGGAAAAAAAGGACCUAUUCCUAAAGUCCGUCAUCCACUCACUGAAGAGGGCAAAUCCCAGUUGCCCACAUGCAAGGAGGCUGUCAAACAGAGAAAUCACUGCAGACUGUUGGUACACGGACAUCUGCUGCCCAGCUCAGGAGUGAAGUACCUUUUGUUUUGAUGAGGUGAUGGUGAGGACAGCCACAGCUUCCAUCUGGUAGAGGACUGCUUCCGCUCAGUCUUCCAAAUAGUGAUGAGAACAAGGAUCACCACAUCUCCCUGUUUACCCUACUUUCAUGCAUUUCAUCUGCAAGGCCCUGCAAAAGCUUCUCCUUCGUCCUCAAACCCCCAGACUUCUUAAUUAACUCAGUAACCUAUACAUUGCACAUUGGAGUGUGAAGGUAACAGUUUGUUCUAGCUUUGGAGUAAUGGUGUAUUUUUUUGGUUUACAAUAAAGUUGGCUUUAACUAUUAUGUAUUUCA
Molecule: long non-coding RNA, 746 nt
Filed under: Betta splendens (Siamese fighting fish)
Lineage: Eukaryota; Metazoa; Chordata; Actinopteri; Anabantiformes; Osphronemidae
Description: lncRNA (ENSBSLG00000015317.1)
Source: RNAcentral